AGGGCACCACCAGGAGUGGAGCCUGCGGCUUAAUUUGACUCAACACGGGGAAACUCACCCGGCCCGGACACCGUAAGGAUUGACAGAUUGAUAGCUUUUUCAUGAUUCGGUGGAUGGUGGUGCAUGGCCGUUCUUAGUUCGUGGAGCGAUCUGUCUGGUUUAUUCCGAUAACGAGCGAGACUCUAGCCUACUAAAUAGUUCGCACAUUGUCUCUGUGUGUGUGACUUCUUAGAGGGAUUUUCGGUGUUCAGCCGCGCGAAAUUGAGCAAUAACAGGUCUGUGAUGCCCUUAGAUGUCCGGGGCUGCACGCGCGCUACACUGGCAAAAUCAGCGUGCUUGUCCUUCCCCGAAAGGGGUUGGUAAACCCUUGAAAAUUUGCCGUGAUUGGGAUUGGAGAUUGCAAUUAUUCUCCAUGAACGAGGAAUUCCAAGUAAGUGCGAGUCAUCAGCUCGCGUUGAUUACGUCCCUGCCCUUUGUACACACCGCCCGUCGCUGCCCGGGACUGAGCCAUUUCGAGAA
Molecule: ribosomal RNA, 519 nt
Filed under: uncultured eukaryote
Lineage: Eukaryota
Description: SSU rRNA
Rfam family: Eukaryotic small subunit ribosomal RNA
Source: RNAcentral